Molecule: ribosomal RNA, 1195 nt
Filed under: 'Brassica juncea' phytoplasma
Lineage: Bacteria; Bacillati; Mycoplasmatota; Mollicutes; Acholeplasmatales; Acholeplasmataceae
Description: bacterial SSU rRNA
Rfam family: Bacterial small subunit ribosomal RNA
Source: RNAcentral
UCUUUUUAUUUUUAAAAAACCUUUUUCGGAAGGUAUGCUUAAAGAGGGGCUUGCGUCACAUUAUUUAGUUGGCAGGGUAAAGGCCUACCAAGACUAUGAUGUGUAGCUGGACUGAGAGGUUGAACAGCCACUUUGGGACUGAAACACGGCCCAAACUCCUACGGGAGGCAGCAGUAGGGAAUUUUCGGCAAUGGAGGAAACUCUGACCGAGCAACGCCGCGUGAACGAUGAAGUAUUUCGGUAUGUAAAGUUCUUUUAUUGAAGAAAAAAAAAUAGUGGAAAAACUAUCUUGACGAUAUUCAAUGAAUAAGCCCCGGCAAACUAUGUGCCAGCAGCCGCGGUAAUACAUAGGCGGCGAGCGUUAUCCGGAAUUAUUGGGCGUAAAGGGUGCGUAGGCGGUUUAAUAAGUCUAUAGUUUAAUUUCAGUGCUUAACACUGUCCUGCUAUAGAAACUAUUAGACUAGAGUGAGAUAGAGGCAAGUGGAAUUCCAUGUGUAGCGGUAAAAUGCGUAAAUAUAUGGAGGAACACCAGAGGCGUAGGCGGCUUGCUGGGUCUUUACUGACGCUGAGGCACGAAAGCGUGGGGAGCAAACAGGAUUAGAUACCCUGGUAGUCCACGCCGUAAACGAUGAGUACUAAGUGUCGGGAUUACUCGGUACUGAAGUUAACACAUUAAGUACUCCGCCUGAGUAGUACGUACGCAAGUAUGAAACUUAAAGGAAUUGACGGGACUCCGCACAAGCGGUGGAUCAUGUUGUUUAAUUUGAAGAUACACGAAAAACCUUACCAGGUCUUGACAUACUCUGCAAAGCUAUAGCAAUAUAGUGGAGGUUAUCAGGGAUACAGGUGGUGCAUGGUUGUCGUCAGCUCGUGUCGUGAGAUGUUAGGUUAAGUCCUAAAACGAGCGCAACCCUUGUCAUUAGUUGCCAGCAUGUCAUGAUGGGCACUUUAAUGAGACUGCCAAUGAAAAAUUGGAGGAAGGUGAGGAUCACGUCAAAUCAUCAUGCCCCUUAUGAUCUGGGCUACAAACGUGAUACAAUGGCUGUUACAAAGAGUAGCUGAAACGCAAGUUUAUAGCCAAUCUCAUAAAAGCAGUCUCAGUUCGGAUUGAAGUCUGCAACUCGACUUCAUGAAGUUGGAAUCGCUAGUAAUCGCGAAUCAGCAUGUCGCGGUGAAUACGUUCUCGGGGUUUGUA